This is a long non-coding RNA of Antechinus flavipes (yellow-footed antechinus), 715 nucleotides long. RefSeq lists it as uncharacterized. Lineage: Eukaryota; Metazoa; Chordata; Mammalia; Dasyuromorphia; Dasyuridae. The transcript is spliced from 3 exons. The record is from RefSeq and is a predicted model, not a curated record.
AGAAGUGAAGCUUUCAGUGCCCACCCACACCUCCUUGUGGGUGUAAAGUGUCUGUGUUGUCGCUACUGCUGCUUGUCUGAGAAAGGAGAAAGCAGCUGUUAGAUUUGACUAAGCAGCUGUAAUUAGAGUCUCUUUUGCGAAGCUGUCUCUCCUCUCCUCCCAUCCCCCGCUCACUACUUGGCAGAAUCCCCUAACCAAGGGGGGCUUCAGGGCCGGAUCCCUUUGCCUCCAAGUGCCGGAUCAGCAUGAACUGAGGAAUAAACUGAUUGGAGCUGGGAAGGCUGCAUGCUUCGGGAGGACGCGGGAGCUUCCGAGGAUCCCAUCCCUACCCAGAUCUGCAACUUCUCUGCAAAUUUCUACGCUUAGAGACUUCAGUGACUUGGCCAAAAGCUGUGCCUGGACAAUAGAAGCUGUGAAAAGACACAUUUACUCGGCUUGACCACUCAACAGGAACAUUGCUGAUGGAUUCCUGAAAUUGCUUUUAUUCAGUUCUGCUGUCAAUUGAGACAAGGCAAGUUAUUGGCAUUUUUGAGAUAUGCACAUUUGAAAGGAGCACUUGAAUAAUAUAGCUGAGACUGAGAGACAGGGAUCAAUACCAGUGUUAUUUUUGCCAUAUGGAUUUAACUCUACAUAAACAGUAACUGACAUAUUUGUAUAAUCAAGGUAAUGUCUCUGCUUUUCCCUUCAGAAGUUUGAUCUCUAGUAAUCUCAGAAA